GACGAACGCUGGCGGCGUGCUUAACACAUGCAAGUCGAACGGAAAGGCCCUGCUUUUGUGGGGUGCUCGAGUGGCGAACGGGGGAGUAACACGUGUGUAACCUGCCCCUGACUGUGGGAGAACUUCAGGAAACUGGGGCUAAUACAGGAUAGGAGCUCCUGCUGCAUGGUGGGGGAUGGAAAGUUUCGGCGGUGGGGGAUGGACUCGCGGCUUAUCAGCUUGUUGGUGGGGUAGUGGCUUACAAAGGCUUUGAAGGGUAGCCCGCCUGAGAGGGUGACCGGCCUCCUUGGGCCUGCGGUACGGCCCAGACUCCUACGGGAGGCAGCAGUGGGGAAUAUUGCACAGUGGGCGGACGCCUGAUGCAGCGACGCCGCGUGCGGGAUGACGGCCUUCGGGUUGUAAACCGCUUUCGCCUGUGCCGAAGCGUUAGUGACGGUACUGGGUAAAGAAGCACCGGCUAACUACGUG
This 468-nucleotide ribosomal RNA is filed under the name uncultured bacterium. RNAcentral describes it as "partial 16S ribosomal RNA". It matches the Rfam family "Bacterial small subunit ribosomal RNA", at positions 28 to 507 of the family's 1533-position model. The record is from RNAcentral.